Molecule: ribosomal RNA, 386 nt
Filed under: Cryothecomonas sp.
Lineage: Eukaryota; Cercozoa; Thecofilosea; Cryomonadida; Protaspidae
Description: partial small subunit ribosomal RNA
Rfam family: Eukaryotic small subunit ribosomal RNA
Source: RNAcentral
AGCUCCAAGAGCGUAUAUUAAAGUUGUUGCAGUUAAAAAGCUCGUAGUUGGAUUUCUGGUACAACGCGCCUGGCCCGCUUUUGUGAGUGCCGGUUGCACGUUUGCCAUCCUUCUAGAAACCGUUUCUACCCGGGCAACUGGGCUGGACUCGUGAUCUAGAUCUUUUACUUUGAAAAAAUUAGAGUGUUUAAAGCAGGCUUUUGCUAUGAAUACAUUAGCAUGGAAUAAUAAUCUAGGACUUCGGUUCUAUUUUGUUGGUUUCUAGUACUGAAGUAAUGAUUGAUAGGGAUAGUUGGGGGUGCUAGUAUUGAGCGGCCAGAGGUGAAAUUCUUGGAUUCGCUCAAGACUAACUUAUGCGAAAGCAUUCACCAAGGAUGUCUUCUUUA